This 503-nucleotide ribosomal RNA is filed under the name uncultured bacterium. RNAcentral describes it as "bacterial SSU rRNA". It matches the Rfam family "Bacterial small subunit ribosomal RNA", at positions 94 to 630 of the family's 1533-position model. The record is from RNAcentral.
AGUGGCGACCGGGUGAGUAACACGUGACUACCUGCCCUUGAGUGGGGGAUAACCUCGGGAAACCGAGGCUAAUACCGCAUAAUAUCGCAAGAUCAAAGGAGCAAUCCGCUUUUGGAGGGGGUCGCGGCUGAUUAGCUAGUUGGUAAGGUAACGGCUUACCAAGGCGACGAUCGGUAUCCGGCCUGAGAGGGCGCACGGACACACUGGAACUGAAACACGGUCCAGACUCCUACGGGAGGCAGCAGUGGGGAAUUUUGCGCAAUGGGGGAAACCCUGACGCAGCAACGCCGCGUGGAGGAUGAAGCCCCUUGGGGCGUAAACUCCUUUCGACUGGGAAGAUUAUGACGGUACCAGUGGAAGAAGCACCGGCUAACUCUGUGCCAGCAGCCGCGGUAAUACAGAGGGUGCGAGCGUUGUUCGGAAUUAUUGGGCGUAAAGGGUGCGUAGGCGGUUCGGUAAGUCUUGUGUGAAAUCUUCGGGCUCAACUCGAAGUCUGCACGAGA